UGCGCAGGCGGUUCGUUAAGUCCGAUGUGAAAGCCCCGAGCUUAACUUGGGAAUGGCAUUGGAAACUGGCGGGCUGGAGUGUGGCAGAGGGGGGUGGAAUUCCACGUGUAGCAGUGAAAUGCGUAGAGAUGUGGAGGAACACCGAUGGCGAAGGCAGCCCCCUGGGCCAACACUGACGCUCAGGCACGAAAGCGUGGGGAGCAAACAGGAUUAGAUACCCUGGUAGUCCACGCCCUAAACGAUGUCAACUGGGUGUUGGGGAAGCGAUUCCUUGGUACCGUAGCUAACGCGUGAAGUUGACCGCCUGGGGAGUACGGCCGCAAGGUUAAA
Molecule: ribosomal RNA, 330 nt
Filed under: uncultured bacterium
Lineage: Bacteria
Description: bacterial SSU rRNA
Rfam family: Bacterial small subunit ribosomal RNA
Source: RNAcentral